Molecule: transfer RNA, 76 nt
Filed under: Geobacillus thermoleovorans
Lineage: Bacteria; Bacillati; Bacillota; Bacilli; Caryophanales; Anoxybacillaceae
Description: tRNA-Ala
Rfam family: tRNA
About the family: Transfer RNA (tRNA) molecules are approximately 80 nucleotides in length. Their secondary structure includes four short double-helical elements and three loops (D, anti-codon, and T loops).
Source: RNAcentral
GGGGCCUUAGCUCAGCUGGGAGAGUGCCUGCUUUGCACGCAGGAGGUCAUCGGUUCGAUCCCGAUAGGCUCCAUCA